UUUUCCCUCUGUUUUUUUUUGUCCCUGUUCAUUUUUAGCGCCUUUUCGUUUUUAGCUAGUCUCCCACACUCUCUCUCUUUCUCUCAGACACCGAAAAUCUCCUCAGUGUCUCAUCUCUACCCCUACCCACAAACCCACAACCAUAGCCACCACCACCACCACCUCCCGACCCCCGACCACAGCCACCACUACCACUCAAAAAUCGAGCCUAGUUAGGUCCAAAAACAAAUGGGUCAGGUCUAGCCCGACCCAUUUCUCUUAUCAUUUCUAACCCUAACGGUUCAUCCCCUCUAAUCCUAUUUCGUUACGCACAACUCUUUUGCAUUCAUCGAUUCCUAUUUCUUUUUUCUGUUUAUUGUUAUCAAACCCUAAUUUCUUGUUUGGUACACUGCAGGACCGAAAGACUGGUCAAGGUUCAUCUUGGCACCGAUUGACGCUUCGCGAGAAAUUCAUCGCUUUGUCUAUCUCUCACUCGCGGCUAGGGAUUUAGAGGAAAUUCAAGAGCUGUUGAGGUUGGUCGAUGGCACUGUAAACCCUUCACUUUCUCAGAGAUUGCAAAGCCAGUGUCUCUGCAAACAGCAAGUUCUAAAUACCCAUCAAUGAUUCCAGUCUCUGCUAAAAAGGUUUAACGAAUUUGGAGAGUUUGAACUUGGAUUCCUGUGGGAUAGGUGAUGAAGGGCUUGCUAAUCUGACAGUGUCAAAUAAAAACUGCAUCAUCAAAAACCCUUAUCAAGAUCUCUCUAAUCUAGCAGGACCGAAAGACUGGUUAAAAGAGCAAAAGAGGAAGUCCUCAAGCGGCAUCCCAUUUCCCCCACCAACACAAGAGUAAAUUAACACGGUUGAAUUUGAAGGAACGAAAUUGAAAAGUCUUUGCCCCAUUUCGUGGUUUCAUUGCCAGAGAGAAUUACAUUUUGCGUAUCAAGGAAUUAUGAGUAGCUGAGUGCUGUCUUUUAUGCUAUAAGGUUUCUCAGAAUUGCCAAAGUCAAAUGGUUUCCUAAUUAUUGAAUCAAAUGGUGGGUUGAACCAACAACGCUUAUUGCUUGAUUUAAGAAUGCUGUCUACAAAGCAUUGAAGCGGGCAACUGAAAAGGAGAUUUCUCAAAGUGCUGAUGUCAUCUGUUGCACAUGUGUUGGUGCUGGAGAUCCUUGAUUGGCAAAUUUUAGGUUCUGCCAGAUUGCAAAAAGAAGAGGCACUAUAAGUUUGUGUGAUCGAAGCAAGUGAAGUUGGUGAAAGACUUAAGGUAUUUCUUGCAAAUCACUUUAUAGCAAUGGAUAAGAGUUGGAUGAAAAUUACCAAUAGAAGGUCACAAUAAUAUUUAGAUGGAGUUCAACAGUUUCUGAAUUUCGCAUCUAACCAUGCAUACCCGGAUGGAACAAUUUCAUGUCCAUGUAAAAAAUGCGUGCAUAUGAAUUCAUGGCCUAUAGAUGUUGUACAGGCUCACUUAGUGUCAAAAGGGAUUUGUAGGGGUUAUAACCCUUGGGUUUUUAAUGGGGAAAUAUCGUCUGCGAAGACUUCUACUGAAAUUCCUAGUAGUCAUGUCCAAGAAAACCCAAUAGAGUCCACUUGUUUAGGCCACGUUCGUGGGGUCCACACUAAGUCUAUAAAAAACAAAUCAAUACAGUCACCAAUCCAACGUGCUUCUUGAGGUCGCGUGGGAGUUGGGUUGAGUUGAGUUUGUAUUUUGUUUU
Molecule: long non-coding RNA, 1688 nt
Organism: Quercus robur (English oak)
Lineage: Eukaryota; Viridiplantae; Streptophyta; Magnoliopsida; Fagales; Fagaceae
Exons: 11
Source: RefSeq, a predicted model, not a curated record